UACGAAGGGUGCAAGCGUUACUCGGAAUUACUGGGCGUAAAGCGUGCGUAGGUGGUUUGUUAAGUCUGAUGUGAAAGCCCUGGGCUCAACCUGGGAAUGGCAUUGGAUACUGGCAGUCUAGAGUGCGGUAGAGGGUAGUGGAAUUCCCGGUGUAGCAGUGAAAUGCGUAGAUAUCGGGAGGAACAUCCGUGGCGAAGGCGACUACCUGGACCAGCACUGACACUGAGGCACGAAAGCGUGGGGAGCAAACAGG
This 253-nucleotide ribosomal RNA is filed under the name uncultured Lysobacter sp. Its description in RNAcentral is "partial 16S ribosomal RNA". It matches the Rfam family "Bacterial small subunit ribosomal RNA", at positions 524 to 776 of the family's 1533-position model. Lineage: Bacteria; Pseudomonadati; Pseudomonadota; Gammaproteobacteria; Lysobacterales; Lysobacteraceae. The record is from RNAcentral.